CUUUACUGUGUUAACCUCUACCACUUCAGCUGGAAGGCUAUUCCAUGUGUCCACUACCCUCUCAGUAAAGUAAUACUUCCUGAUAUUUUUAAACCUUUGUCCCUCUAAUUUAAGACUAUGUCCUCUUUUUGUGGUAGUUUUUCUUCUUUUAAAUAUAGUCUCCUCCUUUACUGUGUUGAUUCCCUUUAUAUAUUUAAAUGUUUCUAUCAUAUCCCCCCUGUCUCGCCUUUCCUCCAAGCUAUACAU
Non-coding RNA from Pelobates cultripes (western spadefoot toad), 246 nucleotides. Lineage: Eukaryota; Metazoa; Chordata; Amphibia; Anura; Pelobatidae. The record is from the annotation of a GenBank genome assembly.